GUGGGGAAUCUUGCGCAAUGGGCGAAAGCCUGACGCAGCCAUGCCGCGUGAAUGAUGAAGGUCUUAGGAUUGUAAAAUUCUUUCACCGGGGACGAUAAUGACGGUACCCGGAGAAGAAGCUCCGGCUAACUUCGUGCCAGAAGCCGCGGUAAUACGAAGGGGGCUAGCGUUGCUCGGAAUUACUGGGCGUAAAGGGCGCGUAGGCGGACAGUUUAGUCAGAGGUGAAAGCCCAGGGGUCAACCUUGGAAUUGGCUUUGAGACUGGCUGUAUGGAGUACGGGAGAGGUGAGUGGAACUCCGAGUGUAGAGGUGAAAUUCGUAGAUAUUCGGAAGAACACCAGUGGCGAAGGCGACUCACUGGCUCGAUACUGACGCUGAGGUGCGAAAGCGUGGGGAGCAAACAGGAUUAGAAACCCCGGUAGUCC
Molecule: ribosomal RNA, 425 nt
Filed under: uncultured bacterium
Lineage: Bacteria
Description: partial 16S ribosomal RNA
Rfam family: Bacterial small subunit ribosomal RNA
Source: RNAcentral